Molecule: long non-coding RNA, 220 nt
Filed under: Dunaliella salina
Lineage: Eukaryota; Viridiplantae; Chlorophyta; Chlorophyceae; Chlamydomonadales; Dunaliellaceae
Description: long non-coding RNA (DSAL_LNC000200)
Source: RNAcentral
UUUGCCUUGGCUGCUGAAAGGGCAUGGCGCAAAAUGUACGAGGGUUGGUUGGUAUUCCUCGUAGGGCAAAAUCCAAACUGCGUGUCAGGGAUUUUACCCUCUGCAAGGGCCCAUGCUGUCAGGAUAUUGCGUACUACAUUGGCAUAGAGCCUGUAUAAGCAUCCAUUAAUUGCCAACAUUCUAUAACUCUUUGGGUCAGUUAGAGCAUUUCUUUUGUGCA